GUCCAGAAAUGGGAAUCGAACCCAACAGUGAUCCGCUUACUGGGCAGAUGUCAUGUCCACUAGGCUACCCUGGA
This 74-nucleotide transfer RNA is filed under the name Cordylochernes scorpioides. RNAcentral describes it as "tRNA-Thr". Lineage: Eukaryota; Metazoa; Arthropoda; Arachnida; Pseudoscorpiones; Chernetidae. The record is from RNAcentral.